GCAAGUCAAAAGUUCUGGCACAACCGCCACUGACCAUGUUUCUCUGUUGCCGACAUACAUUUGACACACUCCUCUUUCCCAGAGUUGACCGCUGCGCAGCCCUCCACGCUGAGGCCUGCAAAUUCACCGGAAAGUUGCUGCAGAUGUUCACACCUAAGCAGCUGGAGUCCUGACCAAUCCCAGGAUUCAAGCUUACUUGACCUUCCUCGUGGCUGUUUCUUUCUACAUAUCUUCUCACCGUAAACCUUUUAAAGUGUGGAAACAGGAGCACGUGGGUUAAGGCCAUUCCCUACGUCACCGCAGACGUAGCAGCCACUGUAUGGCGUAAACGACAUGUGAGGAAUUUUGGGGG
Scleropages formosus (Asian bonytongue) is the source of this 352-nucleotide long non-coding RNA. RefSeq lists it as uncharacterized. NCBI's taxonomy places the organism in Eukaryota, Metazoa, Chordata, Actinopteri, Osteoglossiformes, Osteoglossidae. The record is from RefSeq and is a predicted model, not a curated record. The transcript has 3 exons.